AUGCAGCGCUGCGCUCAGUAUGGCAGCUCCAGCGAACUCGACGUAUUCGGAGCGACGCGCUACUUCGACGGCCUCGCCGACCUUGCUGCCGGCCCGGUCACUGUCAGGUGGCCUAUGCAUCACCAGGAGGAAAGCUACCGCAGCACCCAGGAGCUGGGAGCCAAGACCAACAACAACCUCGCUGCCUUCUUCGGCUCCCUUGUGUCGUCGGCGGCGAGCUUUCGAAAGAAUCCGCCGGGGGUCCACGACGAGCCGCACCAGGUCUCGUCGUCCUCUUGUGCUGCUGCUUGCGAUCAUGAUUUGGGUGUGGUGGUGGGGGAUAGGAGGCUGCAAGGCGUUCGGGUAGUGAGGGGAGGCAAUGGCGACGAGGAGAGGUGGGUGGUGACAUGUGGCGGGCAUGCUUUGGAAGAGCAGCACCAUAUGGCCCAUGAGAAGAUUGCUGGCGCAAAAUCAAGUGAUGAUCAGCAGGUGGAAAAGGCGGAAGAUGACCAUGAGAAGAUUAUUGUUGAUGCGAAAUUAAGCGAUGGCCAUCAGGUGGAAGAUGGCGAUGGUUGGGGCAGCGACACUAGCUCUGAUCUCUUUGAGUUGGAUUUGGAUGAUAUGAAUAAUCGCUAA
Molecule: ribosomal RNA, 615 nt
Filed under: Triticum aestivum (bread wheat)
Lineage: Eukaryota; Viridiplantae; Streptophyta; Magnoliopsida; Poales; Poaceae
Description: partial small subunit ribosomal RNA
Source: RNAcentral